Molecule: non-coding RNA, 28 nt
Filed under: Bombyx mori (domestic silkworm)
Lineage: Eukaryota; Metazoa; Arthropoda; Insecta; Lepidoptera; Bombycidae
Source: RNAcentral
UAGUAGAUUGCGAUACAGCGUAACUUAA